Molecule: non-coding RNA, 1047 nt
Organism: Callithrix jacchus (white-tufted-ear marmoset)
Lineage: Eukaryota; Metazoa; Chordata; Mammalia; Primates; Cebidae
Source: RefSeq, a predicted model, not a curated record
GCAGCCGCGCAGCCCCCAAGAGGGCUCCGAGCUGGUCCCGGGAGCUGCAGCGCCGCUCGCCAGCGCCAGGGGGCGGCCUUGUCCUUCUCGCGGCGACCGGACCCCCGCGUGCUGGGGGAGGAGAGACCGCCCGACAACCCUGUGCCCCUUCCCUUCCUCCUGAAGCUGGGAGAGCCGGGAGCGGGCUUUUCUCGCAAGAGCACAGGUUGUCCCUGCUGGGUGCCACCAGUCGACGUCGGACAGGUAUGAAUGCUCUUGCCUUGUGGCCACAUUGCAUAGUGUCCCCAUCAGUCCCUGAGCACACCAAGCCGAAGUUCCCAGUCUAUUUAUUUAAACAGGAACUGGCUGAGGCUUCAGUCUCCUGCUUCGGCACGUGUGAGACUUUCCACCCACACUGAGGUGGCCCCAGCACCUCCUACCGUCGGCCAGUGAGGCAAGUCAGCUGCUUGAGUGUCCAGAGGCUGCUCCGAGCCCAGACUGCUUUGCUGUGUGCCCACAGGCUUGGUGGCCCGGAGACAUUUGUCAAAGGAAUGCCUGAUGGUGUGAAUGAGCGGAUGGAUGCCUUCUUCCGUGAGUUGCCUUGCUGCCUACAGAGGCAGGACCAGAGGCUCCCUACCUGGCUGUCAGAACUAUGGGGCGAUACGGUGGCCCACUGUGUCCACCCCACCACCUCCCGAUGGCCAUUUAUCUGCAGAGCUGGUCCCCUCAGGGAUUGGAUCUUGGCAAGGGCUCACUUUGUCCAGCUUCGAGGACUCACCCAUCACAUCCAGACUCCAGGAAACCGCAGCCAGUCUGUUGCCCCUGGAGUGACGCCUGUGGUGGAAGCCACAAUCGUCGCUCGCCCCAGACACCCAGCAUGCUCUGCACACAGGCCGCAGGGGGCAUGGGCGUCAAAUUAGCAUUGCAGGGGGGUCCCGAGACUGUUGAUAUCAGCACUUCGGGGUUAUUUAUGAAUUCAUCUAUUUCCUGGGACAGGCCUUUCUGCAUUCGGUUGCCAUGGUAGCUUUAAACCCAGUAUCUUAUUAAUUCUGCAUGUUAUGAAAUAAA